CCUGCCUACCAGCCCCUUGUCUAUGGGCUACUUCUGUCCUGCGUGGGCACACACAUCAUACUGGCUUGCAGCUUUCUGGACCAACACAAAUGGCUGGCACAUGGACAAAAAUGACAAUGGCUCAUGCUGCCGGGGCUGGCGUGUUUUGCAGUAAGUUCUAACUAAGUGGAGACCAUGAGGCCACUGGCUGGACAUCAAAGGCACCCACCGUGGGCUCAGCCUGCUGGAAACAGGGACACAGGAUGCAGCCUCCUGGUCUGCUCACAGCAAAGGAUGUCCUCGGAAGAUGUUUAAAGGAAUGUACUAUUCUUAAGGACAAAGAUGGGCAUCAAUUUUGUUUACUGCUGUAUCUCAAGCACUGCAACAGCACCCAGCCCAUAUUAGAUGCUCCAAUAUUUGAGUAAAUGAAUGACUGAAUAUAUCCUG
Manis javanica (Malayan pangolin) is the source of this 426-nucleotide long non-coding RNA. RefSeq lists it as uncharacterized. The record is from RefSeq and is a predicted model, not a curated record. Lineage: Eukaryota; Metazoa; Chordata; Mammalia; Pholidota; Manidae.